Molecule: non-coding RNA, 1200 nt
Organism: Cyanistes caeruleus (blue tit)
Lineage: Eukaryota; Metazoa; Chordata; Aves; Passeriformes; Paridae
Source: RefSeq, a predicted model, not a curated record
CCCGGCAGGGAGGUGCCGGGCCAGGGGGCCAACGCGGCGGCGGCGGGCGGCUUGGAGCCCGUCCAUCCCGCCAGCCUGCCGGACUCGUCCCUCGCCGCCAGCGUCCCGUUGUGUUGUACCCUCUGCCACGAGCGCCUGGAAGACACCCACUUCGUGCAGUGCCCCUCCGUCCCCUCCCACAAGUUCUGCUUCCCCUGCUCCCGGCAGAGCAUCAAGCAGCAGGGAGCCAGCGGGGAGGUGUAUUGCCCCAGCGGGGAGAAGUGUCCCCUGGUCGGCUCCAACGUCCCCUGGGCCUUCAUGCAAGGGGAGAUCGCCACCAUCCUGGCCGGAGAUGUGAAAGUGAAAAAGGAGAGGGACUCGUGACUCGCCUGCGCUCGCCGCCCGAUGUCACCUUGAACUCGAACUGCUCGAAUUCUGUAUAUAUCUAUAAAUAUAUAUAUAUAAAUAUAUAUAUAUAUCUCCAAGACAAGGGAAAUGUAGACUUCAUAAACAUGGCUGUAUAAUUUUGAUUUUUUUGAAUACAUUGUGUUUCUAUAUUUUUUGAAGACAAAAGGUGUCCCAGCUGUGAGCGUGCCGAGGGUGAGACCUGCUCCUGACAAAGUACUCCCUUGUUUUGGGGCCGAGGGACAUUGGUGUAGGGAAGCACGCCUUCCUCCUCCUCCUGCCAGCCGUUCCCUCCUGCAGCUCUGUGACUCUUGGAGAGGAUGGAAACUCCCCGGCCGGUGAUGCCAGGCAGUGGCCCAGAAACAACAUAGAUGGAAAAGAAAUGGCACACGGUGGCUAUGCUCACUCAGCUGACUGUGAGCCCCCAGUCAAGUCUAAUCUCCACCAUAAAACUUCAGAACUGCAAAAGAAAAACAAAAACCCCACAAAAAAAAAACCCCCAACAACAACAACAAUAUGACAAAAAAAAGAAAAAAAGAAAAAAAGAAUUAAAAAAAAAAAUUGAGGCUGUUCAUACAUAGCUCAUUUUUCUCACAUUGAAUGUUCCUUUUUCCUUUUGGUUGCUUUGCUCAAUUACAAUAAUGCUCCAGUGGAUUCUCCCUUUAUCUACCUGGGCUACAAGCUUUUUUCUUUUUUUUUUUUCCUAUUAUUUUGAAGUGCUUUAGCUGCAACAGUGCUACUGUUAAUAUUCCUUUUUAAACUUUUUAGAAGGUGAUACUGUAACUUGUGUAGUAUUAAAAGUGUUUUAAUGAAGAA